UACGUAGGGUGCAAGCGUUAAUCGGAAUUACUGGGCGUAAAGCGUGCGCAGGCGGCUUUGCAAGACAGAUGUGAAAUCCCCGGGCUUAACCUGGGAACUGCAUUUGUGACUGCAUGGCUGGAGUGCGGCAGAGGGGAAUGGAAUUCCGCGUGUAGCAGUGAAAUGCGUAGAUAUGCGGAGGAACACCGAUGGCGAAGGCAAUCCCCUGGGCCUGCACUGACGCUCAUGCACGAAAGCGUGGGGAGCAAACAGG
This 253-nucleotide ribosomal RNA is filed under the name uncultured bacterium. RNAcentral describes it as "partial 16S ribosomal RNA". It matches the Rfam family "Bacterial small subunit ribosomal RNA", at positions 524 to 776 of the family's 1533-position model. The record is from RNAcentral.